CCGGGAGUAUUCCAGAGUAUCGAUUUUCCACAGAGAACGUGAGUGCACUAAUUAAGAUCCAAGAUCGCCUAAGGAUAACUAUAUAAUUAUUUUUGGUGGGAAGAGAGGAAGUUUCCUGAGAGUUCUCUGGUUGAUCUAAGAAUCAAGAAUUACUUCAAGAUUAUCUAUUUCGGGACAUCAGAGCACUAACCACAGAAAGAGAUGAGAAGGGGGCUAGGAAGGUCUGACUAUGGUCCUACA
Molecule: long non-coding RNA, 240 nt
Filed under: Sorghum bicolor (sorghum)
Lineage: Eukaryota; Viridiplantae; Streptophyta; Magnoliopsida; Poales; Poaceae
Description: long non-coding RNA (SBIC_LNC014073)
Source: RNAcentral